This 433-nucleotide ribosomal RNA is filed under the name uncultured bacterium. RNAcentral describes it as "partial 16S ribosomal RNA". It matches the Rfam family "Bacterial small subunit ribosomal RNA", at positions 29 to 507 of the family's 1533-position model. The record is from RNAcentral.
AACGAACGCUGGCGGCAUGCCUAACACAUGCCAGUCGAACGAGACCUUCGGGCCUAGUGGCGCACGGGUGCGUAACGCGUGGGAACCUGCCCUUAGGUUCGGAAUAACUCCCCGAAAGGGGUCCUAAUACCGGAUAAUGUCUUCGGACCAAAGAUUUAUCGCCUUUGGAUGGGCCUGCGUUGGAUUAGCUAGUUGGUAGGGUAAAAGCCUACCAAGGCGACGAUCCAUAGCUGGUCGGAGAGGAUGAUCAGCCACACUGGGACUGAGACACGGCCCAGACUCCUACGGGAGGCAGCAGUGGGGAAUAUUGGACAAUGGGCGAAAGCCUGAUACAGCAAUGCCGCGUGAGUGAUGAAGGCCUUAGGGUUGUAAAGCUCUUUUACCCGGGAUGAUAAUGACAGUACCGGGAGAAUAAGCACCGGCUAACUCCGUG